UUCUCACCUAAAUACUGGCGGGAACCUGGUCUGUUUUGGCUCUCAACACUCUCUCGCUACUCUCUCGCUCCAAAACCCUCCAAACCCUUCGCCAUGAGCAACAAUGGCAAAACCCGAAAACGCCCGGCACCGCCGCAGAAGCCGUCGCCGGUGAACCCACCACCGCCCAAGCAGCGCGCCGCGUCUCAAGAAGAAGAGGAAUUUCUCGACGAGGACGUCUUCCUCGACGAAACCCUACUCGAGACCGAAGACGACCUCAUUCUCCGCGACAGUGAGCAGCGCCAAUCCCUCGCCUCCCGCCUCACCAGGUGGGCCCGCCCACCUCUCUCCGAUGCCUACAAGUCCGCCUCCAAAAGCAUCCUGUUUCAGCAAUUGGAGAUUGACUAUGUGAUUGGAGAGAGCAAUAGAGAAUUGUUGCCUAAUUGGUCCGGUCCUGCUGCCAUUAUCAGAAUAUUUGGGGUUACAAAGGAAGGACAUAGUGUUUGCUGCCACGUUCAUGGAUUCGAGCCAUAUUUCUAUAUCAACUGCCCUCCAGGGAUGGGACAUGAUGAUAUUCCUCGGUUUCGUCAGACUCUCGAGGCGAAGAUGGGGGAGUCAAACAGGAACAAUAAGGCAUCAAUGUUCAUUAGACGUGUUGAAAUGGUGUACAAGAGGAAUAUAAUGUAUUACCAGCAGCAGGAUUCCAAUCCCUUUCUCAAAAUUGUUGUUUCUUUGCCAACAAUGGUGGCCCGCUGCCGGGGUAUUCUUGAUAAAGGCAUACAAAUUGAUGGUGUUGGUGAGAAGAGCUUCAUGACAUAUGAAAGCAAUGUUCUGUUUGCUCUUCGAUUCAUGAUUGAUUGCAACAUAGUUGGUGGAAAUUGGAUUGAGGUACCUGCCGGAAAAUAUAAGACAGCAAAGAGUACAUCGUACUGCCAAUUAGAGUUCAAUUGCCUAUAUUCAGACGUGAUCAGCCAUGCUCCUGAAGGUGAAUUUUCGAAGAUGGCUCCGUUUCGCAUUUUAAGCUUUGACAUUGAGUGUGCUGGACGCAAAGGUCAUUUUCCUGAUGCCAAGCAUGAUCCUGUCAUCCAGGUGGCCAACCUAGUUACUUUGCAGGGAGAGAAUCAGCCAUUUAUUCGUAAUGUUAUGACUCUUAAGUCAUGCUCCCCUAUAGCUGGUGCUGAUGUGAUUUCCUUUGAUACAGAAAGAGAAGUCUUGCUGGCUUGGAGGGACUUAAUCCGUGAGGCAGACCCAGAUGUCAUAAUUGGAUAUAACAUCUGUAAAUUUGAUUUGCCAUAUCUCAUUGAGAGAGCUGAGACUUUGGGAAUACCUGAAUUUCCAAUACUUGGGCGCAUCAGAAACAGCAGGGUUCGGGUCAAAGACACUACUUUUUCUUCAAGGCAGAUGGGAACCAGGGAAAGUAAAGAAGUAACAAUUGAAGGGAGGGUUCAAUUUGAUAUACUCCAGGUUAUGCAACGGGAUUAUAAAUUAAGCUCAUAUUCAUUGAAUUCUGUCUCAGCACACUUUCUUUCUGAGCAGAAAGAGGACGUCCACCAUUCCAUAAUAUCUGAUCUUCAGAAUGGCAAUGCGGAAACUAGGAGGCGACUUGCUGAGUAUUGUCUGAAGGAUGCUUACCUCCCACAGAGGAUUUUGGACAAACUUAUGUUUAUUUACAAUUAUGUAGAGAUGGCUCGAGUCACUGGUGUUCCCAUCUCAUUUCUACUCUCCAGAGGGCAGAGCAUCAAGGUGCUUUCUCAACUUCUUAGGAAGGCUAAACAAAAGAACCUUCUCCUUCCAAAUGUCAAACAGGCUGGAUCUGAACAAGGAACAUAUGAAGGUGCCACUGUUUUGGAAGCAAAGGCAGGAUUUUAUGAAAAGCCAAUUGCAACUUUGGAUUUUGCAUCCCUGUACCCCUCAAUCAUGAUGGCUUAUAAUCUAUGCUAUUGCACCCUGGUCCGAUCUGAAGAUGUACGCAAACUCAGCCUUCCUCCAGAAUGUGUGAACAAAACUCCAUCUGGAGAAACAUUUGUUAAACCGAAUUUGCAAAAGGGAAUUCUUCCUGAAAUUCUUGAAGAACUAAUAGCUGCUCGGAAGAGAGCAAAAGCGGAUUUGAAGGAAGCAAAGGAUCCACUUGAGAAGGCAGUGCUAGAUGGUCGACAAUUGGCCUUAAAGAUAAGUGCAAAUUCCGUAUAUGGGUUUACCGGAGCUACAAUUGGUCAGUUACCAUGUUUGGAGAUAUCAUCAAGUGUCACGAGCUAUGGUCGACAGAUGAUUGAGCACACAAAAAACCUUGUAAAAGAAAAAUUUACUACUCUUGGAGGCUAUGAACAUAAUGCCGAGGUAAUAUAUGGGGACACAGAUUCAGUUAUGGUGCAAUUCGGUGUAAGUACUGUUGAAGCAGCAAUGAAAUUGGGAAGAGAAGCUGCUGAUGCUAUCAGUGCCACGUUCACAAAGCCUAUCAAACUCGAGUUUGAGAAAGUUUAUUAUCCAUAUCUUCUGAUUAGCAAGAAGAGAUAUGCUGGUUUGUUUUGGACAAAUCCAGAGAAGUUCGACAAAAUGGAUACUAAAGGCAUUGAAACAGUACGAAGAGACAAUUGCUUAUUGGUAAAAAACCUGGUAAAUGAGUGCUUGCACAAAAUACUGAUUGACAGAGAUAUUCCUGGGGCAGUCCAGUUUGUCAAGAACACCAUAUCUGAUCUUCUUAUGAACCGCAUGGAUUUGUCACUCUUGGUUAUCACUAAGGGUCUGUCAAAAACUGGGGAGGAUUAUGGAGUAAAGGCAGCUCAUGUUGAACUUGCUGAGCGUAUGCGCAAGCGAGAUGCUGCCACUGCUCCAACGGUUGGGGAUCGAGUACCAUAUGUCAUUAUCAAAGCUGCAAAAGGUGCCAAGGCUUAUGAGAGGUCAGAGGACCCCAUCUAUGUGCUCGAGAAUAACAUUCCUAUAGACCCUCAAUAUUAUCUUGAAAACCAAAUCAGCAAGCCACUCUUAAGAAUUUUUGAGCCUAUUUUGAAGAAUGCCAGCUCGGAACUUCUCCAUGGAAGUCAUACAAGAUCUAUUUCAAUGCCUACUCCCUCCAACAGUGGCAUAAUGAGAUUUGCAAAGAAACAACUCACUUGCCUUGGUUGUAAAACUCCAAUUAGCAAUUCAGACAGAACGCUGUGCUCACACUGUAAGGGAAGAGAAGCUGAACUUUACUGCAAAACUGUGGCUCAUGUUUCUGAGCUGGAGACUCUUUUUGCACGUUUAUGGACACAGUGCCAGGAGUGCCAAGGUUCACUUCAUCAAGAUGUGCUCUGCACAAGUCGGGAUUGCCCUAUAUUUUACAGGAGAAAGAAGGCACAAAAAGACAUGGGUGAAGCUAAAGUGCAAUUAGACCGGUGGAACUUCUGAGAUUUGCCUGAAAGAGUUCAUGGGCAAGAUAUAUAUUAUACUUGCAAAAGAUGAAUAUCUCAUGGGCAAGAUUAUUCCUCCUUGUUGAGUAUGGCAGAUUUUGGUCCAUUCUGCUGCAAAGGAAAUUGUGAGUGAAGAACUGAAACCAAAGAUGAUGUGGAACCAGGAACAACUUUUGAAGAUCUCAACAUUUUCGUUUAACUAGUAUCUCAAUAUGGAAUGCAUGAAUGCCAUUCAAUGCAUCUUCUUUAGCUGAGAAGUUGCUGCAUCUGCCCAGUUGGCUGCCCUGCCCACUUCCAGCCUAGCCCAGUCACUGGCCACCACAGCCCCUUAGCGCCCCCAGCUCGCUUGCAGCCUCCAGCACCGACGCAGUAGCUCCGCCUUGAACCAGAAAACCAGAAAGAAAAAAAACCCAGAAAAGGGAUAAGACGUCUUCGGCCAAGAGGAUGGGAAGAAAGAGGAAGGGAAGAAAGAAAAAGAGACGGGGCCCAGUGUCAGAAAAUGAAAAAAAAACAGAAAGCUUGUGGUCCACUGCAGAAGAAGAAGAGAAAAAACAAAAGGCCCCGCAGCCCAUGUGCUCCCAGAAAAAGAAAGAAAGAAAGAAAAGGGCAGGAAGCCCACGCCGCGGAAGAAGAAAGAAAGAAAAAAAAAAGGGCAGAAAGCGUGCCCAGAAGAAGAAAAAGAAAG
Rosa chinensis is the source of this 4053-nucleotide RNA transcript. It is a transcript of the gene named DNA polymerase delta catalytic subunit, with no coding region annotated. The transcript has 31 exons. The record is from RefSeq and is a predicted model, not a curated record. Lineage: Eukaryota; Viridiplantae; Streptophyta; Magnoliopsida; Rosales; Rosaceae.